Molecule: ribosomal RNA, 547 nt
Filed under: Enterobacter sp.
Lineage: Bacteria; Pseudomonadati; Pseudomonadota; Gammaproteobacteria; Enterobacterales; Enterobacteriaceae
Description: bacterial SSU rRNA
Rfam family: Bacterial small subunit ribosomal RNA
Source: RNAcentral
AGUGGCGGACGGCUGAGUAAUGUCUGGGAAACUGCCUGAUGGAGGGGGAUAACUACUGGAAACGGUAGCUAAUACCGCAUAACGUCGCAAGACCAAAGAGGGGGACCUUCGGGCCUCUUGCCAUCGGAUGUGCCCAGAUGGGAUUAGCUAGUAGGUGGGGUAACGGCUCACCUAGGCGACGAUCCCUAGCUGGUCUGAGAGGAUGACCAGCCACACUGGAACUGAGACACGGUCCAGACUCCUACGGGAGGCAGCAGUGGGGAAUAUUGCACAAUGGGCGCAAGCCUGAUGCAGCCAUGCCGCGUGUAUGAAGAAGGCCUUCGGGUUGUAAAGUACUUUCAGCGGGGAGGAAGGCGAUAAGGUUAAUAACCUUGUCGAUUGACGUUACCCGCAGAAGAAGCACCGGCUAACUCCGUGCCAGCAGCCGCGGUAAUACGGAGGGUGCAAGCGUUAAUCGGAAUUACUGGGCGUAAAGCGCACGCAGGCGGUCUGUCAAGUCGGAUGUGAAAUCCCCGGGCUCAACCUGGGAACUGCAUUCGAAACUGGC